AUUGAACGCUGGCGGCAGGCCUAACACAUGCAAGUCGAACGAGUGGCGGACGGGUGAGUAAUGUCUGGGAAACUGCCCGAUGGAGGGGGAUAACUACUGGAAACGGUAGCUAAUACCGCAUACCAUCAGAUGUGCCCAGAUGGGAUUAGCUUGUUGGUGGGGUAACGGCUCACCAAGGCGACGAUCCCUAGAUGGUCUGAGAGGAUGACCAGCCACACUGGAACUGAGACACGGUCCAGACUCCUACGUGAGGCAGCAGUGGGGAAUAUUGCACAAUGGGCGAAAGCCUGAUGCAGCCAUCCCGCGUGUAUGAAGAAGGCCUUCGGGUUGUAAAGUACUUUCGGCGGGGAGGCGUUACCCGCAGAAUAAGCACCGGCUAACUCCGUGCCAGCAGCCGCGGUAAUAC
This 406-nucleotide ribosomal RNA is filed under the name uncultured bacterium. Its description in RNAcentral is "partial 16S ribosomal RNA". It matches the Rfam family "Bacterial small subunit ribosomal RNA", at positions 30 to 526 of the family's 1533-position model. The record is from RNAcentral.